AUUUGUAUAAUUUCUAAAUUAUAGCUAUUUAAAUGUGAAGACAAUAUAAAGUCAAGUGUGUGCACAAUAUUGAGAUUAUUUGUUGGUUACAUUUGAAGCUCAUGGAUUCAUACAUUCUUUCCCUUGGUGCUUGUGUGCUGUCAAUACUUUCUUUAUAGAUGUAUCAAGCUAAAACAUUUGUUUCACUACUUCAUGUAUUUAACUUUAUAGAUGUAUCAAGCUAAAACAUUUGUUUCACUACUUCAUGUAUUUAACUUUAUAGAUGUAUCAAGCUAACACAUUUGUUUCAUUACUUCAUGUAUUUAAAGAUA
Molecule: long non-coding RNA, 311 nt
Organism: Xenia sp. Carnegie-2017
Lineage: Eukaryota; Metazoa; Cnidaria; Anthozoa; Malacalcyonacea; Xeniidae
Exons: 2
Source: RefSeq, a predicted model, not a curated record